Long non-coding RNA from Alligator sinensis (Chinese alligator), 2456 nucleotides. RefSeq lists it as uncharacterized. The transcript is spliced from 3 exons. NCBI's taxonomy places the organism in Eukaryota, Metazoa, Chordata, Crocodylia, Alligatoridae. The record is from RefSeq and is a predicted model, not a curated record.
GGGCCGAGGGCCCUGGGCUCGUUCCGUCUGGAGAAGAGCGGGCUGAGGGGCUUCACUAGCAGCCCUCGACUCCCUGCAGUGCAGGGGGUGACGAAGGGGCUGGAGCUGUCCUGUCACCUGCCACCACUGAGAGCAGUCCAAGGAGCAACCGGCGCAACUUGCAGCAGGGGAAGUUCAGAUAUCUUAGACUGAAGAACCACAUGCACUUUCCCACCUGAGCAACUUGCUGUGUGCAUCUAUAGUCCUCAGGCUUUUUUUCUUCCUUUUAAAUCAUGGUAUAAGUGUAGGCAGGGGCUGAAACAUGGAUGCUGGUGAAGGGGCCAGCUGGGGAAGGGGGAUGCAGAGCCUGUCAGCUCAUCUCAACUCUUUCAUGUUGAAACUGCAUGCCAGGGAAGGGAGCUUUGUAUGACACUCCAGCUUCCUCCAUCUGCCACUCAGAGCUUUUCAAGUGAAAAUGUAGGAGCCUGGCAGCCUGAAAUGCUUUAAGUGCCGGGCAGAGAAAGCUUGAACAUCACUUAAAACUCUCUCUGCCAGGAGCUUUGCAGAGCAGCUAUGACAGUUUCCAUGACUGCCCCUUCCCCCAGCUCCAUUCCCAUGAGCCUCAGGCAGCCUUCAUCUCUUGUAAUAAAGCUUAUUCCAGGAGCGGGCCCUUCCUUAUAGCUCAGCCAGCGAAACCCUGGAUUGCUUAACUGGCUGAGCUGAGACAGACCUUCGGACAACACUUUCACUGACAACUUCCUUGUGGGUGACUUAACCUGCAGAAAAGCAAACUGUACACUGCAGUCCCUAUCAAAACUAAUGCUGGGUGAGACAGAGGUAUAGAUGAGAUGGGCUAAAGCUCAAAGUAGAUAAUACUAGAGCGAUGGCAACAGGCUAAGGGAAGCAACCAUAACAUGUAAUAGUAAUACCUGCUCCCACCACUUGUCAGUUGAGUUAGCAAAUCAGCAGGGGCUGACUGAAUCCCCAGCUGCUAGAUAGGCAGCCACAGAAGCAGAACUUUCUAGGAAGGUCUUGCCCCUCCCACAACAUGCCAAGACUUGAUCGUUUCUGGUACCAAGCUUCUAGUCUGAUCUUUGCAUUCUCUGUCUCAGAUUAGAUGGCUGCAAUGUGCUCCAGGUGAACUAUUUGGGAACUGCAGCUACCUCAAAAAACAGGUUCUGUCUUACUAAGUGUUCUCUCUCUCUCUCCCUCCCCAGUAACACAAUGCAUUAGUGGCUCUGAUCUGCACUGGAUGCCUGACUUGUAUACCCGAGCCAUAUGUUUCUCCCCAUAUGACUGCUGCAACUGUGGUCAACAGAAGUGAUCGAGUUGUAGAGCUCCCUAGAUACAAAAGGAAGUUGUUUCUGGUGUGGUCUCCAUAAACCACCUUCCAGAUUGCAAUUUACUACUCCCAGCAGGGAUGGCCAACCAAUGGCACAAGUGCCAUGGGCAGAGGAGACUGGCAGCACAGCAAGAGAUGGGGCAGGAAACAGAGCAGACAAGACACACAAGCAGGAAGCAAAAAGUGGGAGAAAAUUGGACAAGGAACAGAAAACAGACUGAGCAGAGGAAGAAGGAUCAGUGUGGCACUCAGGGAGGGUAAAGAUUAAUUUGUGGGACACCUGCCAAAAAAGUUGUCCCCCAUUAUCUUAAAUUAUAAGAGUUGCUGCUCAUCCAUAAGACACCUAAUUAAGAAGUACCAAAACACUAUUUGUCGCAUUUAAUUAUAUUCCUGCUAAAGUGACCCGCAAUAAUGCAGUUAGCAACACUCAUUUUAUAUCAUCAUCUUUUGAUUUCAGAGUUAACAAAAACUAUGGAGUUGAAUGGCAAGGCUCACCCCUCCGAGAAAUUGUUUUAGGAUGCCUGCAGACUCAGGAAGAGAAUAUAGUAUCAGUUUACAUUUAGUUCACAUUUUUCUACUUUUUCUUCACAACCAAAAGCUACACUUUAUUUUAGAAGCAAGAAACUCACAUUCUGGAUGAUCUCUGGAAUAACUAUUUGACCACAACCAAUCCAAAACAGAAAUUAUUAUGUUUGAUAGAGCUAAUAAAAAUUAAUCCCAUUAAGACACUCGUAUCCCAAUCCUACCAUCAGAUUUCCAUUACUGUAACUCAGUGCCUGUGUAGAUCCAAUUCUAGGAUCAAGAUCAGUAGCCUUCUCUACAUCAGAUUUUUUUUAAGUCUGAUUUAUAGGAGUUACUUUUCAAAUAUUAAAAAUAUGGAAUUUAUUAAAACCAAACUUAUGAGCACUCCCCAAAAAUAACUCUUAGAGCCAAUUUUAAACGGAAUUUUACUCACUGUUGUAAAUUCUCAAAUGUCUUCUAAGAUUAAGUGCUGUAAAUUGACUGUUAUUCCAACAUAAGAAAAAAUGAACUCCCCACUAUUUAAUGCAACACAACCAUAGCUGAGGAGCCAGCAGGACACCUCUGCAAUAAAAAUCUUGCCCCUUUGUUACUCUCCAAUCCCUCCUCCUUUGCU